This 1425-nucleotide long non-coding RNA is filed under the name Pogona vitticeps (central bearded dragon). RNAcentral's name for it is "lncRNA (ENSPVIG00000015661.1)". The record is from RNAcentral. Lineage: Eukaryota; Metazoa; Chordata; Lepidosauria; Squamata; Agamidae.
AAACACAAAAAAUGUUACUCAUAGAAAUAAAUAUGUCCCAUUUUCCCUGAUGGCAAAUUCCAGACAGAAAUAAUACAUUUGGAUUUUUAAAAUCUCACCACUAUCAUCAGACCAAAAAGGAAAAAAGGGGACAACAAUGUUUUCAGACAGCUAAAUGUAUUUUUGUUUGUUUGUUUGUUUCAGUCUUUGAGCAGAAUAUGAAAAUUUCAUCCGUAUGUGCGCCAAGAGUUACCUGCUACCAACACUCGGAGUUACCGGCUACCAACACCCCCUUGUGUACUUAUUCUAUCCCAGAGGAACUUCUCCUCACAUUCCAUUCCACCUGUUCCCAUGACUUCCCUUUUCCAAAGUUACCUGCUACCAACACUUGGAGUUACCUGCUACCGACACCCCCUGUGUACUUAUUCUAUCUCAAAGUGCCUUAACUGGAGAUAUCAUGGAUCUCCUGACAAACCAGGUGCUUGAAAGAGUUCAGCCCAGAUCUGACCUGAAAUAUGGAAUCUCAGAGGUAGGGAGUCUGCUGAUAUUUUGGACUACAAUUCCCAUGAGCUCUAACUGCCCUGGCAAAGUUUGAUUGGCAAUAUUCAACAGAAGCAUUUGAAGUACGGUAAAUUACUCCUUCUUAGGAGGAUUAUAGCCCUGUACAUCUUCGUGAAGCAACAUUCUUCUCUUAAGAGUGCCAAGCUACAAUCCAAAACUUUCCUUAGAUAGGUAAAAAGGCCAGUGUCUCCCAAUGGAUUCUUUGCUAUAGCUGCCUUAUCCUGCCUCUAGAAAAACCUGCUUCUAUCAAGAACAAGAAGACUUGGGUGUAUCAUGUGAUAUUUGCAAUCCUUUCAAUACUCCCUCAGUUGUUCUAUAGAUUUAUUCCUUCCUAUAUUAUCUAUAGUAAAUAUACAGUAUCUUAGACUUAUAUAUCUAGAGUCCCUUUUCAUUUGGUAUCUCUUCCUAUCCCCAGAUAUAGAGUCAGCCCCUGUACAAUGUUGGCUGGAAUGUUCCUUUUUUUCCCUUUCUCAUUUGUCUACCUGUCGCUGUUGCUACGAACAGAGCAUUGCUUGUACAACCAACUGACCCGGGAAGUCAUUGGUGCUACAGACUGGAACAUAAGACCAGCUAAAAGCCUAAUGUCCUGGAGAAAAGGAAUUACUAGGCCUUGUAAAUCACGAGAUGUCAAAUGCAGCCACAGACAUUAAAACUUCACUACAGUGAGUAGUUUAAUUUCCUGGGUAUAACUGCUGCUUUGACGCUAAUGGCAGAUGAAAGCGAAGGUUUCCUGGUCAUUUUAACCUCAGCCUGGAUGGCAGAAAUUCCAGGAGUUGUCGUUAUUAAUAACAAUGGACCUUUUAUCCAAUGGACCCAAGUCCCAUUAGCCCUAAAGAUGUUAAUUAUCACAGAUAUUACCUAUGCAGGCUUGUUCAGGAGCUUAAA